AUUGAACGCUGGCGGCAGGCCUAACACAUGCAAGUCGAGCGGAUGACGGGAGCUUGCUCCUUGAUUCAGCGGCGGACGGGUGAGUAAUGCCUAGGAAUCUGCCUGGUAGUGGGGGACAACGUUUCGAAAGGGACGCUAAUACCGCAUACGUCCUACGGGAGAAAGCAGGGGACCUUCGGGCCUUGCGCUAUCAGAUGAGCCUAGGUCGGAUUAGCUAGUUGGUGGGGUAAUGGCUCACCAAGGCGACGAUCCGUAACUGGUCUGAGAGGAUGAUCAGUCACACUGGAACUGAGACACGGUCCAGACUCCUACGGGAGGCAGCAGUGGGGAAUAUUGGACAAUGGGCGAGAGCCUGAUCCAGCCAUGCCGCGUGUGUGAAGAAGGUCUUCGGAUUGUAAAGCACUUUAAGUUGGGAGGAAGGGCAGUAAGUUAAUACCUUGCUGUUUUGACGUUACCGACAGAAUAAGCACCGGCUAACUCUGUGCCAGCCGCCGCGGUAA
Molecule: ribosomal RNA, 500 nt
Filed under: uncultured bacterium
Lineage: Bacteria
Description: partial 16S ribosomal RNA
Rfam family: Bacterial small subunit ribosomal RNA
Source: RNAcentral